Molecule: ribosomal RNA, 1344 nt
Filed under: Triticum aestivum (bread wheat)
Lineage: Eukaryota; Viridiplantae; Streptophyta; Magnoliopsida; Poales; Poaceae
Description: partial small subunit ribosomal RNA
Source: RNAcentral
AUGACUCCUCCUGUGAAGUUUACCAACGCCAAAGAUGUCGAUGGCGCUAGAGAGGAGAUAUUCCAAAUUCUUCGAAACAAGGGAGAAGAAAGGGUCAUCUAUUUUCAUGGUUGGAGUGGGCUUGGGGCAUCUAUCGUUCUUAGAUCCAUAGCAGAAGUUAUCCCUUUAAAGAGAACCACUCCGGAACUAUGCUUUGAUAAAAUAAUUCAUAUAGAUUGCUCGGAGUGGAAAGGUAGGAGGGCGUUGCAGAGAGCAAUCGCUGAGGAGCUACAACUUGAUAGCUCAGUAAUGGAUAUACUGGAUAAGCAGGAUGGAGAUGAUGAUUUUAAUGGAGUUGAUGAAAUUUCAAGGGAUGAAAUAACCAUUGUGUCAGAAGAGAUCUAUCACAUUCUGAAGGACAGUAGAUUUAUUCUUAUUUUCCAUUCCGGGAUUGAUGAUGAGAUCGAUCUAUAUCCCCUUGGUAUUCCUUCACUUGGCAAGUUCACAAAGAACAUAAUGAUAUGGACAUACAAAAGGAGGAUAUUGACCAUAACUGAACACGAACAACAUAAACUAAUACAAAAACUGAGGUACACCCAUCUUUUGGCUUAUGAUAGAGAAAAAUAUCUAACAAGUGGACAGUUGUAUACACUAUUGUGUAAAGAGGCUGCCCUCAUAAUUGCUCACUAUCAAUGCUUGUGGGGAGUCAGUCCAAUGAAGGUUGUUGACUGUUAUGUUUACACACUAUUCCUGCAACGUAGUUUUCACAACAAGACCAAUUCUGAUUGGGUUGGUGUUGCUUCCAAUUGUUGGAUAUGUGAUGGGAUACUGCAGAAAGACAUAACAUUGGAGAUAUGUGACGCUUUGCACCAAGAGAUAAGCUGGGAGUGUGAUGAUAAUGGGCUCGCAAAGUUCAAGAAAGAUUUCAAGCUUCCUUUCCUGGUUGUUAAAGAAGAUGGUGUAUAUGAACAAGGACAAUACCGUUGGAUUUCAACCAGGUCAAUGGAUAGGGAAGUACAUGGUAUGAAAUCUUUACCUGAAGAGACAUUGUCAUUCUUCUUGGAAUUUGUAAUGUCCAAUCAGCCAGUAGCAUUACCCGAUGGUUUGUUUGAACAUUCCAACAACCUUGGUGUGCUAUUUCUCUGUUGUUGUGCCUUCAAUUUUGCAUCACCUCCUUUCUUGAAAUGCCAUAGCAUAAGAUUCCUGGUCUGGAGAAUUGUACAGAUGACAAAACAGGUGAAGGAAAGGAUCAUACUGAGUGGGUUUGUCUUCAUAGCUUAUGGGUGUUGGACCUACGCUACACUGACUAGAAUGAAAUCUUAUCACCGACAAAGAUGGACCUCAUGGAUAACCUCAUGGAGCUAA